AGCGAACGCUGGCGGCAGGCCUAACACAUGCAAGUCGAACGAACUCUUCGGAGUUAGUGGCGGACGGGUGAGUAACACGUGGGAACGUGCCUUUUGGUUCGGAAUAACUCAGGGAAACUUGUGCUAAUACCGAAUGUGCCCUUCGGGGGAAAGAUUUAUCGCCAUUAGAGCGGCCCGCGUCUGAUUAGCUAGUUGGAGAGGUAACGGCUCACCAAGGCGACGAUCAGUAGCUGGUCUGAGAGGAUGACCAGCCACACUGGGACUGAGACACGGCCCAGGCUCCUACGGGAGGCAGCAGUGGGGAAUCUUGCGCAAUGGGCGAAAGCCUGACGCAGCCAUGCCGCGUGAAUGAUGAAGGUCUUAGGAUUGUAAAAUUCUUUCACCGGGGACGAUAAUGACGGUACCCGGAGAAGAAGCCCCGGCUAACUUCGUG
Molecule: ribosomal RNA, 433 nt
Filed under: uncultured bacterium
Lineage: Bacteria
Description: partial 16S ribosomal RNA
Rfam family: Bacterial small subunit ribosomal RNA
Source: RNAcentral